Molecule: long non-coding RNA, 1121 nt
Filed under: Solanum tuberosum (potato)
Lineage: Eukaryota; Viridiplantae; Streptophyta; Magnoliopsida; Solanales; Solanaceae
Description: long non-coding RNA (STUB_LNC000806)
Source: RNAcentral
AAUAAAAUAUAUACUUUAAUUCGAAAAUGACAUGAAAUGACCAUUCUUGGGGGAAUUUAAUUAAAUUGAACCAUAAGAUGAUCAAAGUAUUAGUCGAAUACAAUAAAAUAAAUAAGAGAGGGAAAGGAAGUAAUCAAAUUUGGGCCAAAGCUGCUGAUUUUAAAUCAGUUCCCGUUUUUGUAUACGCAAGUCGUAUAUCAGUGCAUACGACUCGUAUAUCAGCCUCAUUUCCUGUAUUUUGAACCAUAUACCAAAUGUAUACAAUCCAUUUUGACCCCUGCAACCUGUAUUUCCAUUUUUAAACCCGUAUUUGUUGAACUAGACCCGUAUAUCAGUGUAUAAAGGCUGUAUACAGCAGGUAUACAGUCCCUUUUCAGCCUUUUCGGACAUCAAAAAUUCACUUCCAGCCCAUGUACUUCCCGUAACCUGUUCGUCGGCUAUUUUUGGACUCGAUAGGAAAACAUAGAAUUGGGCCUAUGAAGCCCAAUCCACGAAACGCAAAGGGAGGGAGCCUCCAAAGACUCGGAAAGAGGCAGCUCAUGCAUAGAAAAAGAAUAAAACAAGAUAGAAAUUAGAAAUGAAUCAUACUUUAAAGUUUUACAAUAUAAGUAUAUCACUAAGGCAUAAAAAAUAAUAAUAAUAAGGUGAAACACAUGAUUGAUUAGUUCACUAUACUAAUACUAUGCAAAGGUGACGAAGGAAAGCACACAAUAUCCAAUAAAUCUUUCUCCUAUAUUGACUCUCAUAUGAUAAGAUGAAGUGCUAGAAAUAUGGUUACAUAUAGGCAAUUAGACUAGUGAUGACCAAAUGAGUAAUAUGUUUAUGCCUAACUAUCUAGGUAAAGACAAAUGAUAAGGUGGCAACUAUUAAUCAAAAAUGGGGUGAACUGUAGGAAUAUAUGUCACUUAAGCCUAAGAUGCGGCACAAUGCUAAACAAAGAUGAUAAUAAAUCCAUGUGUUAAUAAAAUGGAACAAACCUAAGCAUUUGUUCACGAGCAAAAUAGUAGGCAUGAGGAAAUAAAAUAAAACAAAAAUCGAUAUCACUUAAACUCUCAAUCAAGACAGAGGAAUAACAUCUAAUUUAUGCAAAUCUCAAAAGAAGCAUGACUAUUCUUAAANNN